AUUGAACGCUGGCGGCAGGCCUAACACAUGCAAGUCGAACGGUAACAGGAAGAAGCUUGCUUCUUUGCUGACGAGUGGCGGACGGGUGAGUAAUGUCUGUGAAACUGCCUGAUGGAGGGGGAUAACUACUGGAAACGGUAGCUAAUACCGCAUAACGUCGCAAGACCAAAGAGGGGGACCUACGGGCCUCUUGCCAGCGGAGGUGCCCAGUUGGGAUUAGCUUGUAGGUGGGGUAACGGCUCACCUGGGCGACGAUCCCUAGAUGGUCUAAGAGGAUGACCAGCCGCACUGGAACUGAGACACGCUCCAGACUCCUACGGGACGCACCAGUGGCCAAUAUUGCACAAUGGGCGCGAGCCUUACGCAGCCAUGCCGCGUGUAUGAAGACGGCCUUGGGGUUGUAAAGUACUUUCAGCGGGGAGAAAGGGAGUUAAGUUAAUACCAUUGCUCAUUGACGUUACCCGCAGAAGAAGCACCGGCUAACUCCGUG
RNAcentral lists this ribosomal RNA (490 nucleotides) under uncultured bacterium. RNAcentral's name for it is "partial 16S ribosomal RNA". It matches the Rfam family "Bacterial small subunit ribosomal RNA", at positions 30 to 507 of the family's 1533-position model. The record is from RNAcentral.